AAUGCACCAAUUUGUAAGUCGCUCUGGAUAAGAGCGUCUGCAAAAUGACUAAAU
Salmo salar (Atlantic salmon) is the source of this 54-nucleotide non-coding RNA. Lineage: Eukaryota; Metazoa; Chordata; Actinopteri; Salmoniformes; Salmonidae. The record is from Rfam.